This 479-nucleotide ribosomal RNA is filed under the name Alternaria alternata. RNAcentral describes it as "eukaryotic LSU rRNA". The stretch from base 121 to 274 matches the Rfam family "5.8S ribosomal RNA". Lineage: Eukaryota; Fungi; Ascomycota; Dothideomycetes; Pleosporales; Pleosporaceae. The record is from RNAcentral.
CUGAAUUAUUCACCCUUGUCUUUUGCGUACUUCUUGUUUCCUUGGUGGGUUCGCCCACCACUAGGACAAACAUAAACCUUUUGUAAUUGCAAUCAGCGUCAGUAACAAAUUAAUAAUUACAACUUUCAACAACGGAUCUCUUGGUUCUGGCAUCGAUGAAGAACGCAGCGAAAUGCGAUAAGUAGUGUGAAUUGCAGAAUUCAGUGAAUCAUCGAAUCUUUGAACGCACAUUGCGCCCUUUGGUAUUCCAAAGGGCAUGCCUGUUCGAGCGUCAUUUGUACCCUCAAGCUUUGCUUGGUGUUGGGCGUCUUGUCUCUAGCUUUGCUGGAGACUCGCCUUAAAGUAAUUGGCAGCCGGCCUACUGGUUUCGGAGCGCAGCACAAGUCGCACUCUCUAUCAGCAAAGGUCUAGCAUCCAUUAAGCCUUUUUUCAACUUUUGACCUCGGAUCAGGUAGGGAUACCCGCUGAACUUAAGCAUA